This 252-nucleotide ribosomal RNA is filed under the name uncultured bacterium. RNAcentral's name for it is "partial 16S ribosomal RNA". It matches the Rfam family "Bacterial small subunit ribosomal RNA", at positions 524 to 776 of the family's 1533-position model. The record is from RNAcentral.
UACGGAGGAUGCGAGCGUUAUCCGGAUUUAUUGGGUUUAAAGGGUGCGUAGGCGGUCCGUUAAGUCAGCGGUAAAAUUGCGGGGCUCAACCCCGUCGAGCCGUUGAAACUGGCAGACUUGAGUUGGCGAGAAGUACGCGGAAUGCGCGGUGUAGCAGUGAAAUGCAUAGAUAUCGCGCAGAACUCCGAUUGCGAAGGCAGCGUACCGGCGCCAGACUGACGCUGAGGCACGAAAGCGUGGGGAUCGAACAGG